This 628-nucleotide ribosomal RNA is filed under the name Lichenomphalia hudsoniana. RNAcentral's name for it is "eukaryotic LSU rRNA". It matches the Rfam family "Eukaryotic large subunit ribosomal RNA", at positions 65 to 658 of the family's 3401-position model. Lineage: Eukaryota; Fungi; Basidiomycota; Agaricomycetes; Agaricales; Hygrophoraceae. The record is from RNAcentral.
CUAACAAGGAUUCCCCUAGUAACUGCGAGUGAAGCGGGAAAAGCUCAAAUUUAAAAUCUGGCAGUCCUUUGCGGCUGUCCGAGUUGUAAUCUAGAGAAGCGUUAUCCGCGUUGGACCGUGUACAAGUCUCUUGGAAAAGAGCAUUAUAGAGGGUGAGAAUCCCGUCUUUGACACGGACUGCCAAGGCAUUUGUGAUGCGCUCUCGAUGAGUCGAGUUGUUUGGGAAUGCAGCUCAAAAUGGGUGGUAAAUUCCAUCUAAAGCUAAAUAUUGGGGAGAGACCGAUAGCGAACAAGUACCGUGAGGGAAAGAUGAAAAGAACUUUGGAAAGAGAGUUAAACAGUACGUGAAAUUGUUGAAAGGGAAACGCUUCAAGUCAGUCGCGUUUGUUGGGGAUCAACCUGCUCCCNAGGGUGGGAGCAUUUCCUGGCAGGCGGGUCAGCAUCAGUUUUGAUCGUUGGCCNAAGGUCAGNNGGAAUGUGACAUCUUUUUGGAUGUGUUAUANCCUCGGGUCGCAUGCAACGGUUGGGAUUGAGGAACUCAGCACGCCUUCAUUGGCCGAGGCAAUUCAUUGUCUACGUUUACGUGCUUAGGAUGCUGGCAUAAUGGCUUCAAUCGACCCGUCUUGAA